GUAGGUGAACCUGCGGAAGGAUCAUUCAUAAUUUGUUUGUUCUUCUUGAACCAAUGUUCACUUUGCUGGCUUCGGCUAGCAACAGUCUACCUAUUCAGGUUGUUACUGUCAGUGAAAUACCUAAAUAUCUUAAAUUUUCAACGAUGGAUAUCUAGGCUCCUAUACCGAUGAAGAACGCAGCGAAAUGCGAUACGCAAUGCGAAUUGCAGAACCGCGAGUCAUCAGAUUUUUGAACGCAAGUGGCGAUGGUUUCGGCCAUCAUGUUUGUUUCAGUGUAUCCGGUUAAUUACAUCAAAGAACUUAAUGUGAUUGAGGAAGCUCUCUCACCAAGUAGGAAGUCACUUCAACGCGACGCCUAACCGAAGCAGUCACUAACUGGUGAUAAUCGUUUAGAGCCAAGCGCUGGUAAGCAGUGACUUGAUGAGAAUUUAUCCACUAAUGUACCGAAAAAGCA
This 454-nucleotide ribosomal RNA is filed under the name Pseudovorticella sp. 2 LZ53. RNAcentral's name for it is "eukaryotic LSU rRNA". The stretch from base 133 to 278 matches the Rfam family "5.8S ribosomal RNA". The record is from RNAcentral. Lineage: Eukaryota; Ciliophora; Oligohymenophorea; Sessilida; Vorticellidae.